UGGCUUAGAGGGUAAAGCAUCUGCCUGCAAUGCAGGAGACCUGGGUUCAAUCCCUG
Molecule: transfer RNA, 56 nt
Filed under: Odocoileus virginianus texanus
Lineage: Eukaryota; Metazoa; Chordata; Mammalia; Artiodactyla; Cervidae
Also listed under: 3 other names
Rfam family: tRNA
About the family: Transfer RNA (tRNA) molecules are approximately 80 nucleotides in length. Their secondary structure includes four short double-helical elements and three loops (D, anti-codon, and T loops).
Source: Rfam by way of RNAcentral